Molecule: non-coding RNA, 216 nt
Organism: Vicia faba (fava bean)
Lineage: Eukaryota; Viridiplantae; Streptophyta; Magnoliopsida; Fabales; Fabaceae
Source: the annotation of a GenBank genome assembly
AUGAUGCACGGAAAGGAGAAAUUGGAAGCCUACUUAUGGGAGUUCGUCCGAUGCGACUUUGACGAUGAUGUUAAUGAGAGAAAAUCAGAGAGAGCUUCUAAACUCAGAUAUGCAUCCCUUCCGAUUCUUACUAUUACUUGUUAUGGAUACAAAGAAGCGUGGGUAGAUGUAUUAGCAAGGAAGGUGAAGGUUGAAGAUGGAAGACGAUUGAAGUAG